AGUAAUCUGAUUAGUACCAACAACUAGCCACAAACCCAAGAUCAAGUAGCUCCAGUAAUCUGAUUACUACUGAUAAAUAGCCACAACCCCAAGAUCAAGUAGCUCCAGUAAUCUGAUUACUACUGAUAAAUAGCCACAACCCCAAGAUCAAGUAGGUCCAGUAAUCUGAUUACUUACCAGACAGAACACUCCCAAUCCGAUGCUUUCCAUAGCAACACCACUCAGUUCUCAGACCAGUUAGCAACCAGUUGGCAGACCAGCAAGCAACCAGUUAGACGAGUUAGUAGAUCAGUUAUCAACCAGCUAGCAGAUCAGUUAGCAAACCAGUUAGCAGACCAGCAAGCAGACCAGUUAGCAACCAGUUAGUAAAUCAGUUAGCGACCAGCUAGCAGAACCACCUCCUGGUUGUGGUUCCUGUGGACAGACCAAAUCUUCUAACUGAACUGUUUCU
Long non-coding RNA from Acanthochromis polyacanthus (spiny chromis), 451 nucleotides. RefSeq lists it as uncharacterized. The transcript has 3 exons. The record is from RefSeq and is a predicted model, not a curated record. NCBI's taxonomy places the organism in Eukaryota, Metazoa, Chordata, Actinopteri, Pomacentridae.